RNAcentral lists this ribosomal RNA (253 nucleotides) under uncultured bacterium. Its description in RNAcentral is "partial 16S ribosomal RNA". It matches the Rfam family "Bacterial small subunit ribosomal RNA", at positions 524 to 776 of the family's 1533-position model. The record is from RNAcentral.
UACAGAGGUCUCAAGCGUUGUUCGGAUUCAUUGGGCGUAAAGGGUGCGUAGGUGGCGCCGUAAGUCGGGUGUGAAAUUUCGGAGCUUAACUCCGAAACUGCAUUCGAUACUGCGGUGCUUGAGGACUGGAGAGGAGACUGGAAUUCAUGGUGUAGCAGUGAAAUGCGUAGAUAUCGAGAGGAACACCUGCGGCGAAGGCGGCUCUCUGGGACGGUACUGACGCUGAGACGCGAAAGCGUGGGGAGCGAACAGG